RNAcentral lists this ribosomal RNA (545 nucleotides) under uncultured bacterium. RNAcentral's name for it is "partial 16S ribosomal RNA". It matches the Rfam family "Bacterial small subunit ribosomal RNA", at positions 355 to 889 of the family's 1533-position model. The record is from RNAcentral.
UGGGGAAUCUUCCGCAAUGGACGAAAGUCUGACGGAGCAACGCCGCGUGUAUGAUGAAGGUCUUCGGAUUGUAAAGUACUGUCAUUGGGGAAGAACGGUUUUCUUGAAAAGAUUGAGAAGACAUGACGGUACCCAAGGAGGAAGCCCCGGCUAACUACGUGCCAGCAGCCGCGGUAAUACGUAGGGGGCAAGCGUUGUCCGGAAUUAUUGGGCGUAAAGGGCGCGUAGGCGGGCUUUUAAGUCCGGUGUGAAAGAUCAGGGCUCAACCCUGAGAGUGCAUCGGAAACUGGAGGCCUUGAGGACAGGAGAGGAAAGUGGAAUUCCACGUGUAGCGGUGAAAUGCGUAGAUAUGUGGAGGAACACCAGUGGCGAAGGCGACUUUCUGGACUGUAACUGACGCUGAGGCGCGAAAGCGUGGGGAGCAAACAGGAUUAGAUACCCUGGUAGUCCACGCCGUAAACGAUGAGUGCUAGGUGUAGAGGGUAUCGACCCCUUCUGUGCCGCAGUUAACACAAUAAGCACUCCCGCCUGGGGAGUACGGCCGC